This 8279-nucleotide long non-coding RNA is filed under the name Homo sapiens (human). Its description in RNAcentral is "HSALNT0007214". Lineage: Eukaryota; Metazoa; Chordata; Mammalia; Primates; Hominidae. The record is from RNAcentral.
CCUGCACAUUUGUUCAUUGUUAGGGCUUCCUCCCAUCAGCCUUCCUAGAUGGCUGGAUCUUGUCCAUGUACUGCGAGAUAUUCCAGAAUGACUUGCUGGGAAAGAGAAACGGCUGCAUCUCACAGGCGGGAAUGUCCAGUGAUGUGGUGGUGUGGGCCUGUGUUAUAGCUCCCAUGAGAGGCUGCCAAAAAGACAGGCCUCAACUGUCAGAACAUGUAAUAAACAUAACCAGCCAGAGGACUGAGGGGAGGCAGAAGGCACACAGUUAACCACUGCAGCAGAAAGUAGCAGAAAUGAAGGAUAUUGCAUUUGAGGAUACUGUGAGAGCUCUGUCAGAGGCUAUCAGAGAAGCUCCCUGCAUGACAGCAGAGUGGUCUAGACUGGACCCCAAGUCAGACCAGCCCAAAUGAGCAAGGUUUGCAGAAGGUGGUUUGUAUAAGAAGACCGAAACAGGGUGCAGCUCAGCGCUUGGGAAAGUUGCAAGGGGCUCUGAAGUGUGUUGUUUGAUUUACAUUUGUGGGGUUCCAUAAAUAGGCACUUCACAGAUGCAGACUCUCAAAAUUCUACCAAGAACCGCACAAUAUAGCUGACCACACUGGUCUGCACUUGAUAAGUGAGGAAAUAGAGGCUCAGAGAGCCAGAAUCACAUAUAUAAUUACUACCAGAGCUGGAAUUCCAAUUCAGGCUCAUCUAAUUUGAAAGCCCAUUCUCUUUACACCACACUUCACUAAGACCAAGUCAGCCCUGCCCCUGGGGAGAAAUUCCCUAAGCCUUUAGCAGAGAUCUUGAUAGUCCUAAUGUAUUAGCUUCUCUAAUACAUGUUUAUAAUUCUUGUUGUUGUUUGCUGCUGAUGUUGUUGGUUGUGUCUUAAGGGAAGGGCUAGGAGGGCUUACUGAGAACACUAUCACGUUCUUUCCAACUUUACAAUAGAAGAGGACUGUCUCAGAAGAGAAUCUGGGGCUCUUCUGGAUGUUGUGGGUUUCACCAUUGGAACUGAUGAUUCUCAUGCAAGAGAAGACCCUCCCUUCCACUGUGGGCACUAAACUGCAGUUCUCUAGACGUCUGGACAGGAAUUUCAGCACAUGCUGGAGGGCCGCUCCCACAGAACUUGUAUCUUUUACUUCAGCAGACUCCUGGCUGCCAGUUCUGUAUCUCUUUCUUUUUCUGGAACCACAGAAGAUCACAUUGUCCAAUGUGCCAGGCUAGAAAUACUAGGGGAUUAAGCUGCAGCUCCAUGUUGAGGUAACUGACUUAAUAGUACACCGUUUAGUGACUAUCUUCCUUCCUCUGUUUUUCUUCUUUUGUUUGUCUACCGUUGUCUGCAUGAACAAAAUAAUCCAUUUGUACCCAAAUAUUUAUAUCAGGCUCUACUUCUGGGAGGGCCAAAACUAAGACUAAGAGCCAUGGUUUCAUGUUUAACCAUGCGAUAAAACCUUGUUCUAUAAGAACAAUUGCUUUCAUUCUAGGGCCCCAUUCACAUAGCACGGAAAACAGUAACGAUGUAACUGUUCUGUAAUAUUUCUGUGCAGAGAAUAUGCAAAACAGUGUGGGCGAGGUUCUUUACCAAAACAAAACAGUGCAGACCAUGUGAUCUCUGGCUCUUUUACUGCAUAAUCUGGCUUUGGAGACAUUGCUACACAUUCAUGCUGAAUGUUCUUGCUCUCUCUCCUAUUUUCAUGCCACUGUGUCUUCAUGCAUAUCCCCACUUGGUUUUGACAAAUCUGGCCUCCUAAGCCUUAAAGCCAUUUCAUUAUUGCUGACACCAGUCCAUUGCUCAGACUCUAAUACCUCACUUUCUCUGGUUAUGUAGGGGAUUUUCUUAUGAUCCUGGAAGACAUCCUGGGAGAUAAAACCUCCGAAGUAUCUGGUUUCUAUUAGAAUCAAGUCUGUAGGAUUAGAAGUUUCUUAAUGCACAAUUAUAAAAUGCACAACACCAGAUGUAGUUGUCCAUAUCUUCUUUCAUAUUCCUCCUUUCCUAUUAUUGCUCAGCUAAAUGUUUCCAUGGGGAAGAAAAACACUUGAAUCUUAAAGUGAACUGUCAGCUGAUGUCCCUGAAGUACAUUCAUGAUAUUGUUCCCAAUGUCCACAUGUCUCUGGAGUCUGUAUCACAUCCUAGAAUCCAUUCUAUGCAACCUCAUUAACUGCAAAGGGCAUGGGACAAGUUAAAAGGGAUCCUGCCUGGCAGGUGAAGCAUGGUGUCUGUAAAACACGGUGAUGGCUACUAUGUCCAUUCAAGCUAGUGGGAUGUUUCAGAUGUAUCCUCUAAAGUGGAUAAACUAACAAUCCAGGUACUGGGAGUGUACCCAGGGGUUAUUCAGAAGUCCAGGCUAGCAGAUUACAUCAUAGAGUUGCAGAGGCUAGAAGGACUUUAGGGUUAGAGGUUGGGCUUGAGUCCUGGCAGCAGCUUAAUAAAAAGCAGUGGUUCUUCACCUGCAUCUGCAAAAGUGAAAUGAGGCCCAUGAAUGUCCUACAGUAUUAUAGAUAUUACAGAAAGAGAAUUACCACAAAACCACCCAGGCUACUAAUGACAACUUCCUUAUCUUUAUUUUGGAAAUGUGGCAGCUUAUCAUGCUCAUAUGUUCAGCAGAAACAUCAAAUAACAUUUACAUAACUUUUACUAGGAAAAAGCCAUGAUAAUGUAAUGAUAAACAUAAAUGCGGUUUAAGUAUUAUUUAUUCCUCCUGUAUCUCUCACUGGACAUAUGUUUCUCAAGGUCAAGUUUCUAUCUUAACUUUGCAUUCUCAGCACCCACCACAGGAAAUGUUAUGUAGUAGAUGCAGAUGAAAUACAGUAUUUGUUGAAUGAAAGUUAAACAAGAAACCAUUUGCAACCUCAGCACUUAACACAGUGUUCUAGUAGGCAAGCAUUUGUUGAAGGACUGAAUUAAGUAUACAAAAUAUUGCACAACAAAAGGACCUGGUUAGUAAAUAUAUUAAAAUGGAUUAUUAUAUAUGUUCUUAUGUCGCAUGAGCAGGAGUGGGACUAACCACCGGGAAACAAGGGAAGUGGAGUUUCAAUCUGAGGAAGAAUCUGUACAGUUACAGCUACUGAAUAGCAAAACAGAGAGGGGGCAGACACUUCUAUUUUCCCUAGCUCCCAAACGCUUCUCACCAUUAUCAUCCACUCACCACUACACUGAUUUCAAAUAUUUCACAGAGCAACCACUAAAUGGAAACAGAUAAUCACAGAUAAUCCUUAUUUUGCAAAUAUGGAAACAGAGAAAUUAAGCGAGCUGGCUCCUAUUGCUCUGUGAGGCUGAGAACUUGGAAUAAGUGUCAUCAUUGAUCAUUCCUCUUCCAGACCACCUAGUUUCUCAUUCAUGAUUAUAUUUCCCUAAAGGGUACACACUUGAGAGUACUUUUCGAAGACUUAGCUCCAAGGACAUUACUAACAUUAAUGUAAACUUCAUCAUAUAACCUGGGAAUAAAAAGCACAAUGGGAGAAAAUUAACUUCUGAGAGCUGGAGGUAAUAAGGAACAGUUGAAAGAGGGAGGAGACUAAAUUUUAUCCCCAGCUCUGGCAUUAACUAACUGUGGGGCAUUAUAGAUAAGUCCUAGAACCUCUCCAGACCUCAGUUUCCCCAUACCAAAAAUGAGGGAAUUGUGGAAGUUACUGUCUGUCAUAUGAUAUUGUGUGUCUCUUUAAGAUUCUGCAAAUUUAGGACACAUAAAAAUAUGAAGUCUUGGGAAUACUAUCCAAGAACCAUCAAGAGAGAAGGUAAGCCAAGUUCAUAAGACAAUUUAAUCCUCAGAAGCAAGACUCAGCCAAUAGCCAGACAGGCUGCGAUUCCCUUUGCUGUGUUUUCCUACUUUUGUGCCAAUCCCAAAAUGCUAAGUCAUUGCUUUUGCUAGAAGGAUAUUUUCUUAUUGCAUUCUGAGGAUUUGAACAAAUAUUUUCUUCUUGAGGAAAGCUUUCAGAACAUUUUCAAAUUGAAGGUUAGGCUUUCACGACAAAAGGAGCCUCCGCUCUGAAAAAUUUAACUCCCAGGUUUGGAUAGAUGCCGCACAUGGAAGAGAGAGAUCAGCAUCUGCUGGGCUACACUUUGUUUGACAUAGCCCUUUCUUUCCACCAAUACUGAAAUGGCUUUCAGCAAAGCCUGUGGGCACUGUGGUUUCCACAGCAGUCCUCUCAGGAGGGGCAGACACUGACAAAGCAUUUAGCUUCAGCCUUGUGACUGGUGACAUGCUGAAGCCAACCAGUUGGCUACCUACAUGGAAAACUAUGAGACUCACCUCCCCCCUUACCCUUGUUUUGUAGAGAUGCCUGCCUGAAAUUCCACUUCUGGGUCCUUAUCCCUUUCCUACAAUUAUGCAGCUUCUUUCAAUUGCAGAGAAGGGUCAGCCUGCAAAAACAACAGGUCCACAAACUAAAACGUUGCUUGCUAAUAAUUUUAUGAAUCAAUCCACAAGAAGUGGGCUCCUAUAAUUCCCUAUUAUUUAAAAGCAUUUAUUAUGCUUUUAAAUCACUUCUGAAUUUUUUUAUUUUUCUUGAUUCCAGUUAGUAGAUGGAAAAAAAUAUAUAAGCUCUAAGGUGGUAAAUGAUUAGAGUUUUUUCACACUGCUGAGUGAAGGGUGUCACAUUUAAUGCAGCUCUGCAUAAAACCAGGCUUCAAAGGUGGCUAAUCAUCUAGUUGUCAAUUCAUCAUUUAGGUAGCAGAGAAAAUAAGCUUCACAUUAAUGUGUAUUUACCCUUUAUAAAUAUUGGCAAACAUUAUCUCUUCUAAAAAUUCUUCUCUGAAUUCCCAGAAUGAAGAGUUUUUCUCUGACCUGUGUUCCCAGGGCAGCCUGAACUUUCCAUGGUCACUUACCAAAAUAUAUUAAAAUUGUGCCUCUGUCUCUCCAGUUGAGAGAGAACAGCCAUGUCUCACUCAGGUUUGUACCUUUCACCUCCUUAGAGACUUUGCUCAAAUGCCACCUUCCCAAUGAGACCAUCUUAUUUAAAAUUUCAACCUAUCCUCUGCCUCUUUUGUUUGUUUGUUUUCCCACAGCAAGUUUACUGUCUGACAUAUUUAAUUAUUUAUUUAUUUGUUUACUUGAUUUAUUUUUAUUGUCUAUUUUCCUCCUCCAGCUAGAGUGUAGACUCUACAAAAAGUAUUCUUUGUUCAUUCCUAUAUCUCAAAAACCUAAAAUAGUAUCUGGUAUAUAGUAGGCCCUCAAUGAAUACUUGUUGCAUAAAUGAAAAGGAAAAAAGAAAAUAUCUUAGGGUCCUUCCAGUAAAAUGUUAGAAUUUUUUUGUCCCAUUGUGGUAAAGUUUGGAAGAUUAGAUUAAGUAAAGUUUAAGAAGCACAUUUAUGAAGUAAGUAAAGAAAGGAUAUUGUGUUUUUUUAAACAAAAUUUUUUCAUCCCUAUCUAACGGACCUCAAAUGUGGAACAGGUAUUUGAUUCAAAUAAUGUGAAGGAAAAACUAUGAGAGCAGUGACUUUAGUUAAGGUUUAAUGAGCUUCAAAGAUCACUCCAUGAAUUCAGAGGACAAAGGGUCAAAGAAGAUAUUACAAGAUUUCUUUCAGAAGAAACUAAUUGAUCUUUUCAAGACUUCCCCAACAGACAAAGAAAAGCCAUUAUGAGCAAGAUAGAUAUACAGAGCAGCCUUUCCACUAAUCCCUUUAGAUUUUCCAAGAAAAAAAAAAGUUCUUCAUGGCCAAAUCAUGUUGGGAAACCUUGUGUAUUUCACAAUUCAUUAUACUAUGAUAAAGGAUUUGAAAUGUACUGCAAGAAUUUAUUUUUGUUUAGCUUAGUGUUUUAUUUGACCUCAGAAGCCUUUUUAUUUUUUUACAUAUUGUACAAAUACACCCCUUUUGCUUGUGAAAUUUUUCUUAAAACCCUCUUUUCGGCUGGGUGCCGUGGCUCAUGCCACGUGUAAUGCCACUUUGGCUCAUGCCAAAGUGUAAUCCCAGCACUUUGGGAGGCUGACCGGGUGGAUCACCUGAGGUCAGGAGUUCGGGACCAGCCUGGCCAACAUAGAGAAACCCUGUCUCUACUGCAAAUACAAAAAUUAGCUGGGUGUGGUGGCAUGCACCUGUAAUCCCAGCUACUCGGGAGGCUGAGGCAGGAGGAUUGCUUGAACCCGGGAGGCAGAGGUUGCAGUGAGCCAAGAUCAUGCUACUGCACUCCAGCAUGGGCAACAUAGCGAGACUCCAUCUCAAAUAAAUAAAUAAAUAACCCUCUUUUCGUCCCUUCUACCCACAUAUGGCCUAAAUCCCCCUAAAUUAAUCUUAACUCCAGAGCUAAUCUAUUGAUGACUUCUGGAGAAAUAAUAUAUCUGGAGAAGGUUAAAUCCAAGGAUGUCAAAAUCUAAUAAUUAUUUAUUAAGAAACUGCUUUAAAUGAGGGCCCAGUAGUAAGCUCAUAUAACUUUCUAUGUAAUAUUAGGAUGAAAUACAGAUAGAAAUGCCAUAUUACCUGGAAGAGGAUGGUGAGGAUUAUUAAGACAUACCAUUAAGAUAAACUCAGUUUAAAGAUAUACUAGGAUCCUAACCACAUGGGAUUAGUAAAGAGAGAAAUGAAGAGAUAGAAGGAGAGAGAGAAAAGAAGAUAUAGAAUCCCUUCUAUAUAGCUAUAGAAUGGAUUGAAUGAAUUUUGGAAAACUGAUUUGGCUCUAAGGUUUAUCUUUUAGAAAGUGGUCAGUAAUUCCAUAUUCAACAUUUAGAGAAGUAUGAGUGCAUGAUUAAUCCCGACAGGUAUCAACAACCCUCGGACUUUCAUCAAAAAGGAUAAAAAUGGUAUUUAUUUAUUCAGCAAAUAUUUACCAGUGUGCAGUAGGCACUUGCUAGGGAUAUAGAAAACAAUAAUAUAGCCUUUAUUCUGAAGACCACAGUCUAGUAGGGAGGAAACACUUGACAAUCAACUUAAUACUCCUACUCCUUCAUGGUAAAUUAUACUUUUUCAUUUGAGCAAUUUCUCAGGAAUCCAUGUGGGAUUUCAGGAAGUAGGUGCUACUAAAAGUCAGAAGGAACUUGACCAUGAAUCCAUUCCUUCACAUCAGGACCCCGACUUCUGGAAUUUGAGGAAGGAAUCUUUUUUAGGGAGUAUUACCAAUGGAGCUUCAGCAACCAGGUAGGCACUGUGGUGGGCAUCACAAAUAUAAUAUCAUAUUUAAUGCUCACAACAAUCUUUUGAGCUACAUAUUUUGAAGAUGGGGAAAUCAUAGUUCAAGACGGGAAGUAAUUUUUCCAAUGUUCUACCAUGUGUAAAUUCCAGAGUCUGACAUCUUUAUUGAGUUUGGUCUUCAUGAUCUGUCAUGAUAAACUAUCCCAAUAUCAGUAAGUCAGAAAGUUCCUCAGGUAUAAAGUAAGAUUGAGACAUUUAUGCAAUCAGGGUAGCACAGAUUUUUACAGUUAUGUUGGUUUAUGUGGAAAUGUAAGGUGCUUAAAUAGAUGCUAGCAUAUUAGAACCUGUGGAAAAUUGGAACCUAAAUUAGAGGUGAAAGGUAGAUAUAGGAAAAGAUAUAGAAGACUAAGGUCAGCCAAGGUGUAAGUCAUAAGAGAAAUAAAAGAAAAUUAAUGUGUUUUUCCCCUAGGUACAUAGUGAGUAUCUUGAAUAUGUGAUGCUAAAUCUCAGUAACAUCAUAAUAAAAUAUGUAGCACAGCCAGCCAGAAAUUAUAUUAAGACAGCAUAUUAAAAAGGAUCCAAUAGUUCAAUAUCUAGAAUAUAGCCUCUGUGUACCAAAUCUUAUUUAACUAAUACCUCUUAAUUGGCAUUUAAGUUGUUUCCUAUUGAAUUUUUUAACUUGAGACUUAAUAAACAUAUUGAAAGUAUUUCUUAAAAAUAACUGAACAAAUUUGAAUGAAACCUUUAAAAACAUACUAUCAAUUAAAUCUAAAUGUAUCUCUUUAACUCAUUUUCUCCAGAUUAGUCUCUUUUCAAUGAAAUUCCAAAUCAAUUUCUGGUCUUUCCUUAAGCUUAGUUGAUAGUAAUCAACCAGUAUGACUAAAAGAAUACAUAGUCCUUGUUCUGGUCCAGUACAAAUCCUUUUUUUUUUAAAUAAGAUUCUAGUUUUUGUUACCCUUGUCCUCUUGUAUAUCCCAUAAGGUCUUGUUGGUCUUCAGUUUAUUAUGGAAUAAUUCUAUUCAUAUUUAUGUCUAUCUAUCUAUCUAUCUAUCUAUCUAUCUAUCUAUCUAUCUAUCAUCUAUCUAUCUAUCCAUACAUACAUACAUAUGACAGUUCGUACUUCCUAUAUCAGCACUUGAUUGACUGUAAGGAUAGUCUUUUCUUCUUCCUCUUCCUCUUCCUCCUCCUCCUUCUCUUCUCCUCUCCUCCCCUCCCCUCCCCCCUACUCCCCUCC